GCUGGCGGCGUGCCUAACACAUGCAAGUCGAACGCCCUACGCAAGUAGGGAGUGGCGGACGGGUGAGUAACACGUGGGUAUCUACCUUAAGGUGAGGAAUACCAACGAGAAAUCGUUGACAAUACCGCAUGUGCUUCUUCGGAAGCAAAGCUUCUCGUUUUGAGAGGCGCCUUAAGAUGAGCCUGCGCCUGAUUAUGCUAGUUGGUGGGGUAAAAGCCUACCAAGGCGACGAUCAGUAGCUAGUCUGAGAGGAUGAUCAGCCACACUGGGAUUGAGAACGGCCCAGACUCCUACGGGAGGCAGCAGUGAGGAAUUUUCCGCAAUGGACGAAAGUCUGACGGAGCAACGCCGCGUGCAGGAGGAAGGUCUUCGGAUCGUAAACUGCUUUUACCGGGGAAGAGAAUGGACGGUACCUGGUGAAUAAGUCCCGGCUAACUACGUGCCAGCAGCCGCGGUAAUACGUAUGGGGCGAGCGUUGUCCGGAUUUAUUGGGCGUAAAGGGCCCGCAGGCGGUUCGCCAAGUUUGGGGUGACAGCUCCUGGCUUAACCAGGAGAGUGC
RNAcentral lists this ribosomal RNA (559 nucleotides) under uncultured bacterium. Its description in RNAcentral is "bacterial SSU rRNA". It matches the Rfam family "Bacterial small subunit ribosomal RNA", at positions 35 to 624 of the family's 1533-position model. The record is from RNAcentral.